AAUGCGCUGCUUGAUGAAUUCAUUCUCCUGUGGUGUCUCCAGGGACACGGCAUCCAUGCAGUGACGACGGCAGAUGUUUCUUGCAUCAAGCCAGUCUACCUCCAAGCUGCGAGUUGGCUACAAAAGAUUGACGGCUCAAGAUGAACCAAAAACAGCACCAAAAAGCAAAUCUCCGCUGAUGCGACAACACAAAGAGCGGUGUCCAGCCGAAAAUGAGAAAAUUGAUGCAGAUGGAUAUGUCUAGAUUUAACUGAUGGAUCCAUCAGUCAGAGUACACGAAGAGGAGAAAAAAGUGUUUUGCAAUUGUGUAAUAGGAGUCAUGUGAUCAUUGCUGAAUGGAAGAUUACAAUCUAGAAGAAGAUGGUCAAAUUUAGGUAAAGCUGAGAGAAAAAAAGAGAUUCCUUGCAGCAUCCGUUACUUAUAAAUUGGCGAAAUUGACAGAGUAGCAAAGAAAGAGGGGAAAGAAACUCUCUUGCUAAUUGGUACGGUUUUGAUUUCACUCCAAUUGAUCCUAUCAUUCUCUUCCUACAUAUGGCCCCCUGAAAGGAGAGCAAAAGAUAUCUUAUGCUCUUAAUACUUCAUCAAUUUUCAACCACAUGCUGUGCGGGAAGUUUACAAAAUUAAACAGAGCUCUUUUUGGCGCGAAAGUUUUCAAGCAUGGCAGCUCAACAAAAGACGCUAUUUUCACUCGUAUUAUGGUCCCUUCCAAAUUCAAUAUCGUCAAUACAUAAUUGAAAAUUCAAAGCAAAUCCAUAUAUUGAGGGGAUAAUCAUUUCUUAAACAUUUGUUUUUUAUUUUUAUUUUAUUGAACUUUCAAUAUUUUUUAGC
Molecule: long non-coding RNA, 828 nt
Organism: Lutzomyia longipalpis
Lineage: Eukaryota; Metazoa; Arthropoda; Insecta; Diptera; Psychodidae
Exons: 5
Source: RefSeq, a predicted model, not a curated record